Molecule: long non-coding RNA, 2981 nt
Organism: Amphiprion ocellaris (clown anemonefish)
Lineage: Eukaryota; Metazoa; Chordata; Actinopteri; Pomacentridae
Exons: 3
Source: RefSeq, a predicted model, not a curated record
GCAUGUUGGUGGCAGCAUCAUGAUGUGAAGCAUGUUGGUGGCAGCAUCAUGAUGUUAAGCACGGUGGUGGUGGCAGCAUCAUGAUGUGAAGCAUGGUGGCGGCAUCAUGAUGUUUCUCAGCAGUAAAGGUAAAAUCUUAAGGACUAAGGACCAGAAUCUUUGUUAAAUAGUUUUCAAACGGCAGCAUUCAAGUUCUUUAGUUAAUUCUUCACGUUCUUUAGUUUCUGGGUUCUCACCAUCCCGCUAUCGUGGCCGGAGACGUUGGGGUCCCAGACGUCGUCAUCUUCGGUCAGAGACUUUCCGUCCAUCACCUGGCUGACACUGCGUCUCAGGGCGUUUACACUGAGCAUGCCCAGUUCACCUGGAGGAGGGGCGUCAUUAGCAGGGUGGAGUUUAGCCUCGGGUACCUCCUGGAAACACAGAACAUUCCUGAAACGUCUAAACAUCUCAUCGUCCAUGAAGAGCUGCUGGAGGUUCAUAUGGUUCUGGUAGUACCUCCAUCCUCAUGGUGAAGCCCCUCAGGGUCACGGUGUUGGAGAAUCCUGUCGUAUCAGGAACCGUGUCGAACUGGACAGGAGGAAACACUUCAGUUAUUAAUGAACUCUGGUGUUCAGUGUGUCGACACAAAUAUGUUUUUAAACAAUUUUGAAUCAAUUUUCACCCGUUUUCUGCCCAUAAACCUCCAAACAAGUGCAGAGAAAACCUUAAAAACACACAAUAAGGGUUAGUUUGACUUUACAUGUUGGAUAGAUUUAAUAAAAUAGUAUCUGAUUUGCAUAAUUCCACAUAAAAUAUAUACAUUUCACAACACUUGUGACAGAAAUAAUCAAUUUCACAGUAAGGGAAUUACCUGGGGAGGUUGUAUACUAAUACUUGUCAUAUUUUCAAUAUAGAAAGGUAUAAAACAAUUAAAAAAUAAUAAAUUUAAAAAAUAAAAAAAUAGAUAUUUAGAGAUUUUAUUUAUUAGAUUUUUUUAUUUAUUUUUUACAUUUUAUUAAUAAAUUCCACACAUUUUUCAGACAUUUUAAAAAUAUUUCUGGGAUUUGACAUUUGACAUUUUAAAAAUAAUUUUCAGACAUUAUCGAGACACUAUUCAUUUUCAAGAAUUUUUUGAAUACAUUUUUAGUUUUUAGUUUUAAUUUUUAAAAUAUCUUUCUUGCAUUUUGCGUUUUAUUUUAUUCAUUAAUUAAUUUUUAUUCCUGUCUAUAUUUUUCAGGUUUUUACAGAGUAGGUUUAUUUACAUGUAACAUGACAAAAAAAAAAAGAGUAAUUAAAAGAGAUAUUUAAAGUCCCGUCUGUAAAGAUUUGGAUUUUAAUUUGUCAACAAAAUGAAACAAGAAUUUUGAAGGUGGAGUCAUCAAAUGUUCAUGUUUUUAUUUUGUAAUUUAAUGUAAAUAAUCGAAUUUUCCCAAGCUGAUAAAUGUUAUUUUAUUUAUUUUCAUUUAUUUUUUUUAUGUUUUCUCACCAGAGCAGAGCUGCUGGCCGGAUAAACAGCUGCCGGGUUCCUCUUCUGGAUGGGCAGUGGGGGGCGCUCUCUGGAGAACGGGGGUCUGUUCAGGGCCUUUUCACAAUAAGAGCACAGAGUAGACUUUAAAGGCUAGUUUAUUUCACAAUAAGAGUAUUAAGUAGAAAUUCAAGGUCUUAUUUUUGCAGUUAUUCACAAUAAAAGUACAGAGAAGAAGCUCCAAGUCUUGCUUUUGCUGGGGUUUUUCAUUGUAAGAGCACAAUUUAGAAGCUCAAAAUCUUGUUUUUUUUCAAAUUAAAAGCGCUUUGUAAAAGCCCAAACUCUUGUUUUUGCUGUUUUUGUCACAAUAAGAGAAAGACGCUCUAAAUAUAUUUUUCACAACAAGAGGACAGAGCAGACAGUCUAACUCUUAUUUUUGCUUUUUUUCUCUCUCAAUAAGAGCACAAAGUAAAAGCACAAAAUCUUGUUUGUUGUUUUUUUCACAAUUAGAGAACAGAUUAAAAUUCAGUGUUGCGUGUGUAUUUUUCACAAUAAGAGCAUCAAGUAGGAUCUCCAAGUUGUGUUUUUUCACAAUAAGAGCACAGACUAAAGGCCUAUAAUCUUGUUUUUGCUGCCCUCUGGUGGCUGAAUCUUUAGUUUCACUGCAGGUUCCUUCACACUAAAACAUUUUAAACCCAAUUAAACGUGCAGAUGGUCUCACUUUGUGCAGCAGGACUCCCAGGACCACGGCCAUCAGCAGCAGAGCCACGGCGGCCAUCACCACGAUGAACCAGAGCUGCUGGACCACCUUCUGCUGCUCUGGACCUCCUUCUGCCCGCUGACCUCCUCCUGGUGGAGGGGUGGGGCUCGCCGAGUCUGCAGGAGAGUGAAAGUAGCAGUUCCUCCUGAAGGUCAGAGAUUGCAGCAUCUGAGGGCCUCUUCAAAAGAAGACGUAGUUGAUGAAGACGUUCUGGAGCAGGACCAGAAAGACCACGACCAAGCAGCCUUGAGAUCUUAGGCAGCGUCUCCCUCAGGUCCCUCUCUAUCUCCCCACACAUCCACCAACCACUGGAACACAUCUCCAAAGUUCUGCUGGACCAGCUCAGCUUCCCCUCAGAAGAAGUGCUGCCACCUGCCAGAUGAAGGAGCCUUUUGAGAGGCAGCUGGCAUCGUGAUUGGACUGUACUUUGGUCUGUUCCAAUCCAGCUUCAGCUCCAGAGACGGCAGGCGGGACGAGUCAACGGAGGCCGGAUGGACGAAGGCAUGAAGCUGAGUACAAUCCAGAAAACAACAGAGGAGGAGUGCAGCAGCCCAGAGCCAGAACAACCAGAGUAGCAUCGUAUGUCUCUUAGAAAACAUCAUAUUAUAGCCUUUGCUAUGAAAAAACGGCAUCAUAUACAUCGUAGAUUGUACAACUAACAAGUCAAAGGAAAGAGACAUACAUUGUAGAAUUGUAGUAAUUGUGGGCUGACUGAUUUACUGAUGAGCAGUAUUUUAUUUUUUACUGAUUUACGGUAAUAAAUACAUUUAAAAAUGG